CAGGCCUAACACAUGCAAGUCGAACGGUAGCACAGAGGGCUUGCUCUUGGGUGACGAGUGGCGGACGGGUGAGUAAUGUCUGGGAAACUGCCCGAUGGAGGGGGAUAACUACUGGAAACGGUAGCUAAUACCGCAUAACGUCUUCGGACCAAAGUGGGGGACCUUCGGGCCUCACACCAUCGGAUGUGCCCAGAUGGGAUUAGCUAGUAGGUGGGGUAACGGCUCACCUAGGCGACGAUCCCUAGCUGGUCUGAGAGGAUGACCAGCCACACUGGAACUGAGACACGGUCCAGACUCCUACGGGAGGCAGCAGUGGGGAAUAUUGCACAAUGGGCGCAAGCCUGAUGCAGCCAUGCCGCGUGUAUGAAGAAGGCCUUCGGGUUGUAAAGUACUUUCAGUGGGGAGGAAGGCGAAGAGGUUAAUAACCUUUUCGAUUGACGUUACCCGCAGAAGAAGCACCGGCUAACUCCGUGCCAGCAGCCGCGGUAAU
Molecule: ribosomal RNA, 490 nt
Filed under: uncultured bacterium
Lineage: Bacteria
Description: bacterial SSU rRNA
Rfam family: Bacterial small subunit ribosomal RNA
Source: RNAcentral